RNAcentral lists this small nucleolar RNA (70 nucleotides) under Cricetulus griseus (Chinese hamster). Lineage: Eukaryota; Metazoa; Chordata; Mammalia; Rodentia; Cricetidae. The record is from RNAcentral.
CGGGAUCAGCCAGUACGAAUACGACAGAGAUCAGUGUAUUGUCAGCAGUCAAAGGCUUCAUCACUUCCCA